This 394-nucleotide ribosomal RNA is filed under the name uncultured bacterium. Its description in RNAcentral is "bacterial SSU rRNA". It matches the Rfam family "Bacterial small subunit ribosomal RNA", at positions 505 to 898 of the family's 1533-position model. The record is from RNAcentral.
GUGUCAGCAGCCGCGGUAAGACGGAGGGUGCAAGCGUUGUUCGGAAUUACUGGGCGUAAAGGGCGCGUAGGCGGCCCGCUAAGUUCGGUGUGAAAGCCCCUGGCUCAACUGGGGAACGGCGCUGGAAACUGGCGGACUCGAGUACCGGAGAGGAGGGUGGAAUUCCUGGUGUAGCGGUGAAAUGCGUAGAUAUCAGGAGGAACACCGGUGGCGAAGGCGGCCCUCUGGACGGAUACUGACGCUGAGGCGCGAAAGCGUGGGGAUCAAACAGGAUUAGAUACCCUGGUAGUCCACGCUGUAAACGAUGGGGACUAGGUGUGGGGGGUAUUGACCCUCCCGUGCCGCCGCUAACGCAUUAAGUCCCCCGCCUGGGGAUUACGGCCGCAAGGUUAAA